RNAcentral lists this long non-coding RNA (2674 nucleotides) under Canis lupus familiaris (dog). Its description in RNAcentral is "lncRNA (ENSCAFG00030016851.1)". Lineage: Eukaryota; Metazoa; Chordata; Mammalia; Carnivora; Canidae. The record is from RNAcentral.
AUGGUGAUGAAGGAGGAGCAAGCUGCAGCCAUUUAUGAGAAGUUCAGAGGCAUUUUUUUACCUCAUGUAAAGAUCAUAACACAGUGUAACCAUGGCCCCAACCUUUCAUGCUCUGCUGAAAGUGGAAGCAGCUUGCUGGGAAAUACAGCCCAAAGUCAAGGUGGAGGAGGUGAAGACAAAUGUUGGAAAUGAACAACCAGUAGUUUUCAUGUCCUGCAGAGAAGGUGGGCCCAGAGCACAUAUCAUGUGGUAAGAUGGAAAGGUAGGCCUCCUGCGCUUAGAUCUUGUGCUUAUUGGCAAAUGGCUGCUAAUGGUUUGAGUUUUAAUCUUAUAAAUUAAGUAUAUUUUUAAAAUUAUAAGUGAUUAGCAACUAUCUGCAUAUAAUCUAAGAUUGCUCCCAUGGGGGGAAAAAAACUGUUUUGCCUCUCAUCUAUCUUGCAUAGUAUGAACUCCACUGUGGUAUGAAACAAGUGCUUGCUUGAGUAACAUACCAGUUGCGUUAAAUUUCUUAUGACUACUGGCACAUAAGCCUUGCUUGAGUUUUGCACCAAUUGAAGAGUUUCAUGUGGCAGGAUAGGGGAGGGAGAAAGCUGAAAUGAAUAAAAUAUUAAUCUGGCACAUGUAGCAGGCUUUUUAAUUUAAUAUUUUUUCUAGAUCUAUACAGCACAUUCAUACAGACACUAAUCAGGUUUCUAAUCACACUCUUACUGUGUAUCUAAUAUUUCUCAGUGUAGCACUCCACUCAAAUAGGCAGGCCAAGUUUUUUGUAGGAAUGCAAGCUUUUUGCUUUAACAGAAUUGACUUUAGGUGCCUGGGUGGCUCAGUCAGUUAGGUGUCUGCCUUCAACUCAGGCCAUGAUUCCAGGGUCCUGGGAUUGAGUCCUGCAUUGGGCUACCUGCUCAGCUGGGAGCCACUUCUCCCUCUGCACUACCUCCCCUUCCCCACCCAGGCUAGUGCGCUCUCUCUCUCAAAUAAAUAAAUAAAAUCUUUUAAAGAAAAUUAACUUGUUUGUUCUAAUACUUCUCCCUAGUGCAUAUUUUUCAGACAAUGAAUCAAGACUUCUUUGCUUGAAAGUGACAGAAACCCAAUCAAACUGGCUUGCGCCAAAGAGGAAUUUAUUAGCAGACAUGUAGCAAUAGAAGGAUCGAAGUAUAGUUAGGCCUGAGGUGUAGCUGGAAACAGAAGUUCGUACCCUUCAAGGCUCUCCCAUCUCCUGUCUGUGCUUCUCUCUACAGAGGAUAUGUUGGAUAUGUGUUCUCUCUGAGCAGCAUCUUCCAUAUUUUGAAAAUAUAGCCACCAGCUGCUUCUGUACCUAAUAUGUCAUGGCUUUGCUACCAUCUAGGGACCCAUCUCUUCCCCUGUUUGUGUUUGUAAAACCUCCAGGGAAGGAUUCUGAUAGGGCUGGGUUAGAAGCCUGUGCCUAGGUCUCAAUCAUCUGUGGCCAGGUUGGAGUUAAUAAUAAAAUGGCCACAUCAUUCAGACUCCACAGUUGGGAGCAUUUCCUAGAGGAAAGGGUGGUACCAUUACCACAGACCUCAGGAGAGGGAGGAGCAGCAGAGAAACUUACUGAGUUACACAGUAAUUGAUGUUGCCCAUAAAGGCCUUCCUUUCUAAGUCCCAUCACAUGCUAUGAACUCUCUCAGUAUCAUUAAACUUUCCCCCCAAAUUUCCUACAGUCCACUAAAUUAUUUUUCCAUUAGAGUACAAAAAAGGUUUUAUCAGAGCCUAUUAAUAAAUUGUCAUUAAUAAAUUGAGUUACUGCAAAGAUGUUCAACAGCUGAUAUUCAAGGAUGUCAAUUUUACUUGAGGCCAAUUAGUCCAUUUUUGCCAACCUUUGGCACAAGUUAAUUAGAAUGAAGUAGACAUGACUGAGUCUAAACAUCUCACCAAAACAAUCCUUUUAUGGAAUUAAUUCACUGGGAUGUUUUUAUAUGUCUACUCCUUUACACUGUGUGCUUCCCUGUAUACACAAAAGCAAACCCAGCUGGUCUCCUGACAUUUGCCAGUACAGGAUGUCAGUAUCUUAGUGGCAUACUUUCAUUUCUCUGGUACAUAUUGUAGGCUGAGAGUCACCAGUGAAGAGUUUAAUAAUCACCACCUCUUUGGAAUGCCAAAAAUGUGUAAAAAUUGGCCCUUGCCUUAGUAUCAUCUUCCUUUAUGACUUGUGUGGACAAUAUCUGAUCCAGAAAAUUGAAAAGACAUGCAAAAUUGCAUUUUAUUUUUCAUCAAAAAUAAGCCACAAAGUAAAUGACAUUCAUAUAUACUUACACACACACACACACACACACACACACACACACCGCUACCUCUCUGUGUGCUUCACAAUAACUACAUUAAGAAAUUUCAGAUUAGCUUGGAAGAAAAUCACUGUUUCCAAGCAGAAGCUUUGAGAACUUUUUUCAGAUUAAAAAAAAAAAAGUCUAUGAACAUGCUCAGCUUCUGAUAAAGCUAGAGUUGAUUCUAUUCAAUAACGUGAUUCACCUUAUCCCAGUACAUAUAAGAAAAAUCACAGUCCAACAAUAGCUACAGGUUUAUAGAAGAUGGUAUAACACACCAACUGCACACCAAUUUUGCACACCAAAAUUGCACUUGCUGUGCUACAAAUGACUAUUCUUCAGAAUGCAGUAACUUUCCAAAUAAUGGCUAAAAACAAAACAAGGAAAAUUCCAUUUGU